AGCAGCCAAUAUCAAUAUUUCAUAAACAAAUGAAAGACUGGAUAUGGAGGCGAGCGUCGAAGCGGCCCUGGAGGGGGAGAGGGGAUCAAUGGAAAGAUAGCUCCCUCCGCCAGUAUCUGCCAAUCCCGGCCCCUCGCAGGAUAAUGCCAUUACCCAUCAGCCCGAGUGAGCAUCGACCAGCCUGCUGCUCUUUGAGUGGACUAAUCUGAUAAAAAGCCUUAAAACAUUUGUUCACUGACACACCGGCUGCAGCUCCGAGCCCGGGGCUGAGCACUGACAUGACUCUGAGUUUAGUUCUGUGUUACUGAUGUGUCAGCGUUGCCUUGAUGCACCAGUAAAACCUUCUGAACCUGAUAAGGGUCGACGUGGUGUAGAUGUAGGUCAGUUAAUAAUUGCUCUUAACCAGGUGGACCUGUAAGGUGGAUUUUUGAGGUGGAGGUGGAGUUUGAUCUGCAGUCAGGACGUUCAUGUGCCUGGCUGCAGGAGGAACGUCUGGGGAAUCCGUCUGUCAGCAAAGCUUUUAACUGGAAAUCCAUCAGGUGGUAAACACGUGUCCUGGCCAUCUGCAGCGCUUCAGAAUUUCCCUUGUGUUUUCCAACUCGUCCCCCCCCCGAUGCCCUCGCUCUCUGCCUGCACCCUCGUCAAGGUAUAGUGCUAUUGAUGUUCUCACACAUCACCGAGCCGCUGUUUCCAGAAAACACUGUGUAUCUUCUGCCCUGCCAUGAGCCACCGGGGGGGUUUUCCUGUGAGCUGAGGAGACAUCUUGUGGUGAGGAGGAAGCGUUUGCCGUCAGACAAGGUCAAGAAGAUAAGAAGUGGUCAAUAUAGCUUCCUCGGACGAGGAAGUCAUUUACCAUUGAUCCAGACAAACAAGAGAGAGCCCGACCUCUGGGACUGGAUCUUGUCAUUAGGUUUAUUAUCAUCAGAGAGCAAAUAGUAAUGAAAAAUCAAAUAAAUGUAUGAAGAAUAUACUUUUUCCUCUUUUGUACUUUCGUAGAAUAUUAAUUUAUUACAAAGAAACAAAGCAACCUAAUUAUUUGAAUAUAUUCAGUAUGUUUAUAUGAAUCAGCACAAAUUAAUGAAAAUUAGAUUUUUAUUCAGAGCAUCUUUUUAUGAUGAAUAUAUUUAUGUUUUGGGGAUAUUGGUGGAAUCAAUCAUAUCUCCUGAAACUGUAAACAUGAGAGUCAACUCUAUCUAAUAAUUCCAGAAAUCUUUAUAAUGGCUCAUUUGAUCGGCUUCAAAAUUUGGCUUAUGUAUUGUGAAGGGCCCAAGGAAGUGCAGGGUUGAAUUUGGUGCGAUUUUGAAAAACGGUAAGUUUGAAUUACCAGGCGACCGUUUGGUACGACUCAACGUAAGAGAAAAACAACCAUGACACUUUUCACAGUUUCAGGAAAAAAAACUGCAACCAAAACAGGCAGGUGUAGAUCUCCACUAAUAGAUGCAAGCAUUAACAAAAUGAACAUAAACGACCCCUGAUUAUGAAUCAUGAGAGAGAUUCCCAGCACUUAGCUUUUCUAACAUGUCCGGUUCAGAUGCACCCAACACUUCCUGCCAGUCUCCCCUCAGCUGGCUGUCAUUAUCUCAAAUACUUCAGCCAUGUUUCCACCUGGGGAGCCCACACAGCCACAGACUACAAAGGCAAAGCGUCGCUACAGAUUCCAACACUUUCCAUCGACGCUGCAGCCAGAGCCUCUUAAACAGGCCGACGUCUCAGGCUCCAAAUGUCGGGACGCUGCAUGUGAGUGUUGUGCAAUUGUUUUUUUUCUUUGGCAGCAAAAAUUCAGCUCUUUAGAGGGAUUCUGUCUGGGAAACAAACACCCGGCACAACACUCGGAGGGAGCAAGUGAGGUCAUCCAGCUCAGGCCUUGACUCUGUGUAUGUGUGUGUGU
This is a long non-coding RNA of Platichthys flesus (European flounder), 1888 nucleotides long. RefSeq lists it as uncharacterized. Lineage: Eukaryota; Metazoa; Chordata; Actinopteri; Pleuronectiformes; Pleuronectidae. The transcript is spliced from 3 exons. The record is from RefSeq and is a predicted model, not a curated record.